GGAGAGGUGCCCGGAGUGGCUGAUCGGGGACCGAAGAGAGGUCGGGCUUCAACCAGCCCACGCAGGUUCGAAUCCUGCCCUCUCCGCCA
This 89-nucleotide transfer RNA is filed under the name Streptomyces avermitilis MA-4680 = NBRC 14893. Its description in RNAcentral is "tRNA-Ser (AGA) (tRNA-Ser-AGA-1-1)". It matches the Rfam family "tRNA". From Rfam's summary of the family: Transfer RNA (tRNA) molecules are approximately 80 nucleotides in length. Their secondary structure includes four short double-helical elements and three loops (D, anti-codon, and T loops). Lineage: Bacteria; Bacillati; Actinomycetota; Actinomycetes; Kitasatosporales; Streptomycetaceae. RNAcentral also lists the same sequence under 1 other name. The record is from RNAcentral.